GUGACUGCGUACCUUUUGUAUAAUGGGUCAGCGACUUAUAUUCUGUAGCAAGGUUAACCGUAUAGGGGAGCCGUAGGGAAACCGAGUCUUAACCGGGCGUUAAGUUGCAGGGUAUAGACCCGAAACCCGGUGAUCUAGCCAUGGGCAGGUUGAAGGUUGGGUAACACUAACUGGAGGACCGAACCGACUAAUGUUGAAAAAUUAGCGGAUGACCUGUGGCUGGGGGUGAAAGGCCAAUCAAACCGGGAGAUAGCUGGUUCUCCCCGAAAGCUAUUUAGGUAGCGCCUCGUGAACUCAUCUCCGGGGGUAGAGCACUGUUUCGGCUAGGGGGCCAUCCCGGCUUACCAACCCGAUGCAAACUGCGAAUACCGGAGAAUGUUAUCACGGGAGACACACGGCGGGUGCUAACGUCCGUCGUGAAGAGGGAAACAACCCAGACCGCCAGCUAAGGUCCCAAAGUCAUGGUUAAGUGGGAAACGAUGUGGGAAGGCCCAGACAGCCAGGAUGUUGGCUUAGAAGCAGCCAUCAUUUAAAGAAAGCGUAAUAGCUCACUGGUCGAGUCGGCCUGCGCGGAAGAUGUAACGGGGCUAAACCAUGCACCGAAGCUGCGGCAGCGACACUGUGUGUUGUUGGGUAGGGGAGCGUUCUGUAAGCCUGUGAAGGUGGCCUGUGAGGGUUGCUGGAGGUAUCAGAAGUGCGAAUGCUGACAUAAGUAACGAUAAAGCGGGUGAAAAGCCCGCUCGCCGGAAGACCAAGGGUUCCUGUCCAACGUUAAUCGGGGCAGGGUGAGUCGACCCCUAAGGCGAGGCCGAAAGGCGUAGUCGAUGGGAAACGGGUUAAUAUUCCCGUACUUGGUGUUACUGCGAAGGGGGGACGGAGAAGGCUAUGUUGGCCGGGCGACGGUUGUCCCGGUUUAAGCGUGUAGG
This 926-nucleotide ribosomal RNA is filed under the name Salmonella enterica subsp. enterica serovar Lubbock. RNAcentral describes it as "partial 23S ribosomal RNA". It matches the Rfam family "Bacterial large subunit ribosomal RNA", at positions 593 to 1524 of the family's 2925-position model. The record is from RNAcentral. Lineage: Bacteria; Pseudomonadati; Pseudomonadota; Gammaproteobacteria; Enterobacterales; Enterobacteriaceae.